This is a non-coding RNA of Heligmosomoides polygyrus, 71 nucleotides long. Lineage: Eukaryota; Metazoa; Nematoda; Chromadorea; Rhabditida; Heligmosomidae. The record is from Rfam.
GCGCCGGUGGUGUAAUGCGAACAUCGCUGCCCGGAAAGCAGAAGAUGCGGGUUCGAGUCUUGCCUGGCGCA